This 465-nucleotide ribosomal RNA is filed under the name uncultured bacterium. RNAcentral's name for it is "partial 16S ribosomal RNA". It matches the Rfam family "Bacterial small subunit ribosomal RNA", at positions 28 to 507 of the family's 1533-position model. The record is from RNAcentral.
GAUGAACGCUGGCGGCGUGCUUAACACAUGCAAGUCGAACGGAAAGGCUCCUGCUUGCAGGGGUACUCGAGUGGCGAACGGGUGAGUAACACGUGGGUGAUCUGCCCUGCACUUCGGGAUAAGCCCGGGAAACUGGGUCUAAUACCGGAUAGGACGAUGGUUUGGAUGCCAUUGUGGAAAGUUUUUCGGUGUGGGAUGAGCUCGCGGCCUAUCAGCUUGUUGGUGGGGUAAUGGCCUACCAAGGCGUCGACGGGUAGCCGGCCUGAGAGGGUGUACGGCCACAUUGGGACUGAGAUACGGCCCAGACUCGUACGGGAGGCAGCAGUGGGGAAUAUUGCACAAUGGGCGCACGCCUGAUGCAGCGACGCCGCGUGGGGGAUGACGGCCUUCGGGUUGUAAACUCCUUUCGCUAGGGACGAAGCGCAAGUGACGGUACCUGGAGAAGAAGCACCGGCUAACUACGUG